UUCAUGGUUGGUUCGUCCGUUGUCAUGGUUGGGAGCUUAGUUUAAAUAACUCCAAGUCAGACACUACCCGGCACAACAAAUAAGUAAUAUUAUUUGGUUUGUAUAAUAUAUAUGUUUGUGUGAUUUUUUAAAGUUAGUAUUUUUUUUGUUAUUAUUAAAAUAUAUUUUUGGUUAACAUGUUUAAUAUAAUUUUUUUUAAAGUUAUUCUCGC
RNAcentral lists this long non-coding RNA (211 nucleotides) under Trifolium pratense (red clover). RNAcentral's name for it is "long non-coding RNA (TPRA_LNC008599)". Lineage: Eukaryota; Viridiplantae; Streptophyta; Magnoliopsida; Fabales; Fabaceae. The record is from RNAcentral.